Molecule: ribosomal RNA, 454 nt
Filed under: uncultured bacterium
Lineage: Bacteria
Description: bacterial SSU rRNA
Rfam family: Bacterial small subunit ribosomal RNA
Source: RNAcentral
GACGAACGCUGGCGGCGUGCUUAACACAUGCAAGUGGUGCGACGAACCAGGGCUUGCCCUGGGGCAAAGCCGCGAACGGGUGAGUAACACGUGGGUAAUCUGCCCCGAUGACCGGGACAACCCGAGGAAACUCGGGCUAAUACCGGAUGUGGUGCACUGGCAUAAGCCGGUGUACUAAAGGAAGCUUCGGCCUCCGCAUUGGGAGGUGCCCGCGGCCCAUUAGCUUGUUGGUGGGGUAACGGCCUACCAAGGCAACGAUGGGUAGCUGGUCUGAGAGGACGAUCAGCCACACUGGGACUGAGACACGGCCCAGACUCCUACGGGAGGCAGCAGUGGGGAAUCUUGCGCAAUGCGCGAAAGCGUGACGCAGCAACGCCGCGUGGGGGAAGACGGCCUUCGGGUUGUAAACCCCUUUCAGGAGGGACGAAGGUUCGCCGGUGAAUAGCCGUGCGGA